CUUCACGAUUUACCAUCCCAAUUUCUGUACUUGAAAACUUUGUAGGGUACCAAGUUUCCAUCUUACUUUCCUGCCACCAAGUCCAAACCAUGUAGCUGCCCACAAAGUGCCUCUAUCUGUGUGCUGGGGACAACUCAUACUAGCUGUCAGAAUUGAUGGCUAAAUUUUUAACAUGAUCAUUUACAUUUCAGAAAUGGCAAAUUGUGGAAAAUUUCACAAUGUUUUGGGUCAGAAAGCUCUGAAAAAUAAAGAUUACAUAUCAUUGGUAGGACAACAGAGAGAUUCAG
RNAcentral lists this long non-coding RNA (287 nucleotides) under Sarcophilus harrisii (Tasmanian devil). RNAcentral's name for it is "lncRNA (ENSSHAG00000021317.1)". Lineage: Eukaryota; Metazoa; Chordata; Mammalia; Dasyuromorphia; Dasyuridae. The record is from RNAcentral.